Molecule: long non-coding RNA, 496 nt
Filed under: Vigna radiata
Lineage: Eukaryota; Viridiplantae; Streptophyta; Magnoliopsida; Fabales; Fabaceae
Description: long non-coding RNA (VRAD_LNC018278)
Source: RNAcentral
UUGAAAGGAUGAUAGGGAACUAUUUAAUUCAACUAUCGGUUGGGUUUGUACUCGAUGCCUAACUCUAACUUGACCCUGCAAGUAUAAAUCAAACCAUAUCUUAGUAUAUUCAAUACAACAAUUUACCUAAUCAAUAAUAAAUUGAAACAAUUACACCAUACUUACCUCUUGAUUAACUUCUCUAUCCAUCUCAAUAUAUCCUGCACAUUUUACAAAAUACAAUCAACAUCAAUGUAUAACUAAUGUAUUUAACUCAUUCAUAUAAUCAGAUUUUUCACAACAGCACCCUCUUUCCAUCCAAUUACCAUCCAACAACAUGCACACAACUACUAUUUCAAAAAAUAAACUUGGCUGCUUCAAAAAAGGUAUAGAAAAAUUCCCAAAAGAGAACAUCUCUCAUUGAAUGAAACCUCACUCAAAACUUGAAAACGAUAAAAUAGGAAUUGUGAGCUUCACAUCACAACUGAAGCUUGACCGCUUGACCAAAAGGAAACCC